RNAcentral lists this long non-coding RNA (2731 nucleotides) under Heterocephalus glaber (naked mole-rat). RNAcentral's name for it is "lncRNA (ENSHGLG00100051152.1)". Lineage: Eukaryota; Metazoa; Chordata; Mammalia; Rodentia; Bathyergidae. The record is from RNAcentral.
GUGGCAACAUCACGACUUUUAUUUGUGGUGCCUGUGCUUUGUCUCGAAAAUACCUUCUCCCCCUCCUCACACAACAGUCAGUGAGGGGGCAGCAAAAAAUAGAAGACGUCCCUCCUAUUGCACAUGGACCCUACAUAAAGGCCCACCGGGGGACCGGCGGGACUCCUGGCACAUUCCUGGACCCUGCUCAGGAGGGGAGGGUGCUGGGGUGGCAUCACACGUGAGGCGGGGACCCCGGGCGGCCCCUCUGGUCCUCGGCUACUGGCCUUGCUUCCUUCCUGGCCCCUCAGCGACAUCCCCCCACCUGGCUCAGCCUCCCCUCCGUCCAGCCUCUGGCGGACCCCAGGCCCUGGGGACCUGUGCUUCCCUCGGGUCCCUCAUGGGGUCUAUGGCUUCUCGGCGGCUUCCCCAGAGCCGUCACUCGUGUUCCCGUGGGAAGGGUGCGUGUGGCAAAGCAGCUGUAUAAAUAUGGGUGCGGGCGAGUCCUCCAGCGUCACUUGGACAGCUUGCUGAUGACUCGGAUCAGUGCUGCAUUCUCAUCCUUGAGCCGCUGGUUAUCAGCGCGGAGGUCAGACAGGGCCUGGGGCACGGGGCGGGGUCAGCAGGGGGCCUGGCCGGGCUGCACCAGCCCUCGGUGGCCCCCCAAGCACCCACCUUCAGCUCCUCCUCCAGCUCGGCAGCCUUGUGCUCCAGGGCCCUGCGCUCCUGGAAUGCAGGGAGCGAGGUCAGAGCCGUGGGGCGGAGAACUGGGGGUGGUGGGCGGGGGCAGGGGAGGGUCAAGUCAGCGUGGGGCCUGUGGGUCGGUACCGCACGGGGAAGGCACAGGGAAGGCUGGGAACGGGGGCCCUCAUCCCAGAGGCCCUGACUCACAAAUCUCUCCAGCUCCAGGAGGGCGGGCCUCUCUGCGAAGCGUUCCUGCCGCUGGCGAGGACAGAGCAAGGCACAGGUCUGUCAGAGUCACGCCCUGCCAGGCAGAGGAGACAGGGCCAGGGCCCAGGCUCUAUGAGGACACAGUCCAGACCCAGGGCUCCAGGCUCAGCCUCCUCCAUCAGACCCGGGGGCCGGCACCCACCCACCCCACACCUGUGUGGACCUCCGAGACUGGCGCAUGAGGCGGGAGCGCGCUUUCCGCUGGGAUUCGGACUCCUCAUCCCGUGCAGGCAUCUGGUAGGACCUGCGUGAAGGACCCGCGUGAAGGACCCGGACUCAGGGAGGGCCUGAGCUCCUAUCCCCAUCCCCUGCAGGCAGCAGCUCCCUCAGGAGCCCUGGUGACUCCUCUCCACUGGACAGGCAACUUCCUCCCUGGCCGCCUCACCUCCGCCGGUCACGGGAGUCCGCUGGGGCCGGGGUGGAGGCUGGGGGGACAUUUGGCUUCGCUGGGGACCCCAGCUCCCUGCUGGAGGGAGGAGUGCAGUUAUACAAGGUGGGUGGGGGCCUGGCAACCCCAGACCUGUUGAAUGCGUUCAUUCAGGAAACAGCGCUCGGGCACUGAGACACAGGCGAGAACCCAGAGCUAGGUCCCCAGCAGAGAAGAUGGGGACGACCAAGCGCAGGCCUCUCAGGGCAUGACCAGGCACAUGGGGACACGGGACUAAAGAAGGGCCCCAGGCCGGGCGAGAGGUGUGCGUGCGGGACUCGGGGCGGGAGUGUGGUGGUCUCAGUGGGCCACAGGCAGAGGACGACAUCUGAUCAGAGACCUGAGGGAGGCAGGGAAGCAGGAGGGCAGAGAUCCAGUGGAGGAACCAAGAGGCCCGGUCACUGUGGCCCAGAAGUCCCACUGGGAGCUUUCCCUUGAUUCAACAAAUGGAAACUGAGGCAGCGUGUUAGGGAAGAACAGGACCCCAGACCUGCCAUCCAGGCCCAGGACUCACAGGGGACAGGGCUCCGGGGUCUUCCGGGAGAGAGUGGGGGGAAUCCCGGCAAGACAGGGCUCCCUGGCCUGUGGAGAGAGAGGAUGUGUCUUCUCCCCAUCGGGACAAGCUCCUGGCCCGGCCACUGCAUGCCACCCACCUGCGCCAAGGUCCCUUCCAGCCAGGACGAGGAGGCCGAGCGCUGCAGCCCAGCCCCAGUGGCUGCCUCGGCCCCCCCGCCUCUCUGUAGGCCCCAAAGCCCCAGAGCUCCCAGUCUUCUGGAGGCCAAAACGCUGAGAGCAGGGUGCAGCAGUGGCGGCGGCAGGCAGCUGGAGGGAGGGAGGGAGGUCGGUCUCCGUCAGAGAAGCAUCUGUCCCUGGAGCGGGAGCCGGACAGCUGCAGCUGCCAGCAGCGCAGAGGCAGCGGAGGUAACAGAUUUCCGUAUCGCAUGCCCGCCUCGGCCUCACAGCCCUCACAGGGACAGACUCACCACAGGGCUCGGGGGACUGGCGAGGGGCGGGGAGGACACGCCAUUGAGGGCUCUGGGUUCUGCAGGGGGCGGCUCUACGGGACAAGGUGUAGGUGCCACAAUACGCCAGGUGUCUCUGGAGACGGGACAGCCAGCCUCCUCCCUCAGACCCGGGGUCCAGGCCCAGCCUCCUCCCUCAGGUCACAAGCCUCCCCCGGGCCCCUACCUACCGGGAUGGCCCUCUUCCCCUUCCUCCUCGUCCCGGAUGGGCGGCCCCCCUGCCCCGCCUGGCCUGCGCUCCUUGGACAGGUCCUGCAGGGAGAUCUUCUCGCGGCUGCUCAGGCGGCACACAGAGCUCCUGGGAAAGGAGCGGGUGUCGGUGUUCGUGUCCGUGGGUCCAUGUCAUCCCCGC